RNAcentral lists this microRNA precursor (100 nucleotides) under Marmota monax (woodchuck). The record is from RNAcentral. Lineage: Eukaryota; Metazoa; Chordata; Mammalia; Rodentia; Sciuridae.
AAUGCUAUUGCUGGGUCAAUUGGUAAAUCUAUUUUAUUGUUUGAGGAAAUAUGAGGCUAUUUUCCAAAGAGGCUGCACCAUUUUAUAUUCCCACCAGCAU